AUAGUGCAACGAGUAAAUCAGUGUCCCGAAUUAAUUGGCGAACGAACGACAAGCUGUGCCCGCAUUAUUAUUAUCAUUAUCUGGAAUCUGGAAUCACGAGCUGGUUGGAGAAAUCCGGAAUCAUCAAACGACAAAUGUGAAUGAUUACCCGACUCGUCUCUCUCUACCUUGUGCUCGCUCUCCGCCAAGAUGGAGCACAAGGCAGUGUUCUUGUGGCAGACAACACGAUGUCUCGAAUGGUGGAAGUAAAUGCGGGGGCGCCCUUCUGCGCUCUCUACAACGACCGAGGCGUCAUCCAGAGGAUGGUCCUAGGCGCGGAUCCUCGAAAAGUGCGACAGAUGUCUAGCAAUCUUGUCGCCGAUCUGGAACAAACUUGCAAAGAGUCACGGAAUCGAGGAAAGAAUCAAGCCCCCGGUGGUCUGAUUUACCCGGGAACGAAGUGGUGCGGUCCGGGCAGCAUCGCGAGCUCCUACGACGAUCUCGGUCAACAUGCAGCAGAGGAUGCUUGCUGCCGAGAGCACGACAACUGCCCGGUAACGAUAGCACCUCAGCAGUGCAUUGACGGGAUUUGCAACAAUUCACCGAUAACAAGAUCGCAUUGCGACUGCGAUGCCAAAUUCCGCAGAUGCCUGCAGAGCCUCAACACCGAAGUGGCGAACACCUUAGGGGCUUUGUUCUUCAACGUCGUCCAGGUCACCUGCUUCAAGGAAAGACGUCCUUGCUCUCAGUGGCAACGCUGCUACGAAUUUGACCGAUCGCCUUUGUUCGGAAACAAUUCAACGGGGGACUCAAGCCGGAAGCAGAGCGGAAGGCAAUACUUCAGGCUCAAACUGACUCUGGCUAAGAUUGGCUUGUUCAAAAUCCGGCUGUUGCUGGAAAAGUUUUCCAAGAUUUUUUCAUUUCUAAAAUUAUAACCAAACGCGCGCAUUACUUUCGCGCGAAUCGUUUCGUAAAAAUAAUUUCUUGCCAUACGUCUAUUCAAUACUCAACAAUCACCGCUAUAUCAGUUUCGAACAUCCGGUACCUUCAAUACAGCAUCGGAAUUCAGAAUGGAACUUGAAGCGGAUCAAUUCGAAAAUGAAUGGCUACCCAGAGGCGGAGUCGAACCGUCUUUGUUCGCAGUACAAAUUCCGGCCAAGUGACAAAUACGUGCCUUUAAUGCCAGUAAAUAUUAAUAAAUGAAUCCGUAAGCAGCAAGGUGUUAACCCGCAAAACGAACCCUGAAACGAUAGAUUUAUUCAUUAUAGAUCUACUGUGAUCCACUGCAGGGCGAAUUAUUAAGAACCGCACACAUCGAUCAGCGUGCGAUACAUUUUGCGGGUAAAAUGUUAUUCAACGAUAGCAAACCUGACCGCGAGUUAUUAUUCGUUAAAAGUCCACAUUCGAUGUAAUUACGACCGUCGCUUCUUCCUGGAAUUAUUUUUUAUUUCUUAUCUCAGCGACGUGACAUAAAAAGCGGAGGUUAUAACGUUGAAGAAUAAACAAUCGUUA
This is an RNA transcript of Diprion similis, 1491 nucleotides long. It is a transcript of the gene named acidic phospholipase A2 PA4, with no coding region annotated. The transcript has 5 exons. NCBI's taxonomy places the organism in Eukaryota, Metazoa, Arthropoda, Insecta, Hymenoptera, Diprionidae. The record is from RefSeq and is a predicted model, not a curated record.